AUUUAUGCAGAGGUCCUGCAGCAGGGAGAUCCUGAAUGUUGGACCCUGUCGGUGGAACGUCAUUAAUCAGAGGAUAAUGGACAGGAAGGCACCUGCUACGGAGCUCUACUAAUAUCACUAGAAGCUGCAAGUGGCUGAAGCAGGCAGAGGCACCCAGGUUUUGUAGACUAUAAAAUCACUAUCACAAAAUGUCUGCAAAGCACACACAACCUGCAAGAUGCUUGUAAGUAUCAGACGGAGUGGCUAGAUUUCUACUCCAGAGCUGCAAGCCCUCCUAAUUCCA
Long non-coding RNA from Neopsephotus bourkii (Bourke's parrot), 283 nucleotides. RefSeq lists it as uncharacterized. The record is from RefSeq and is a predicted model, not a curated record. NCBI's taxonomy places the organism in Eukaryota, Metazoa, Chordata, Aves, Psittaciformes, Psittacidae. The transcript has 3 exons.